RNAcentral lists this ribosomal RNA (838 nucleotides) under uncultured bacterium. RNAcentral describes it as "bacterial SSU rRNA". It matches the Rfam family "Bacterial small subunit ribosomal RNA", at positions 28 to 896 of the family's 1533-position model. The record is from RNAcentral.
GAUGAACGCUGGCGGCGUGCCUAACACAUGCAAGUCGAGCGAUUUACUUCGGUAAAGAGCGGCGGACGGGUGAGUAACGCGUGGGUAACCUGCCCUGUACACACGGAUAACAUACCGAAAGGUAUGCUAAUACGAGAUAAUAUGCUUUUAUCGCAUGGUAGAAGUAUCAAAGCUUUUGCGGUACAGGAUGGACCCGCGUCUGAUUAGCUAGUUGGUAAGGUAACGGCUUACCAAGGCAACGAUCAGUAGCCGACCUGAGAGGGUGAUCGGCCACAUUGGAACUGAGACACGGUCCAAACUCCUACGGGAGGCAGCAGUGGGGAAUAUUGCACAAUGGGCGAAAGCCUGAUGCAGCAACGCCGCGUGAGCGAUGAAGGCCUUCGGGUCGUAAAGCUCUGUCCUCAAGGAAGAUAAUGACGGUACUUGAGGAGGAAGCCCCGGCUAACUACGUGCCAGCAGCCGCGGUAAUACGUAGGUGGCGAGCGUUAUCCGGAAUUAUUGGGCGUAAAGAGCGCGCAGGUGGUUGAUUAAGUCUGAUGUGAAAGCCCACGGCUUAACCGUGGAGGGUCAUUGGAAACUGGUCAACUUGAGUGCAGAAGAGGGAAGUGGAAUUCCAUGUGUAGCGGUGAAAUGCGUAGAGAUAUGGAGGAACACCAGUGGCGAAGGCGGCUUCCUGGUCUGUAACUGACACUGAGGCGCGAAAGCGUGGGGAGCAAACAGGAUUAGAUACCCUGGUAGUCCACGCCGUAAACGAUGAGUGCUAAGUGUUGGGGGUCGAACCUCAGUGCUGAAGUUAACGCAUUAAGCACUCCGCCUGGGGAGUACGGUCGCAAGACUG